GCAGUGUUGGUGCUGACUGUUCAAUGUAAUCGGAGAUAAAGGUUUUAUACUCCCUGGCAUGGGAACAUGGGAACAGUUGCGACAAUUACAAGUACAGGACAAAACUCUAGAAGACUUAGAUAAACAACAGGAGGGUUAUAGAAAACAUUUAAGAAUGAAAUAUAUUAAGAAACUUAAGUGGGUUCUCCGAAAGCAACAUCCAAGAGGCCCUAGAGCACGUCUACCGCUGGAUAAUGUGGUUACAGUUUUAAGUGGAAUAACCUUACCACAUUUUGCUGCUGAACUCUUCCGAAAAGGCCCAAUGUGUGCGGUUGAGCAA
This 319-nucleotide long non-coding RNA is filed under the name Androctonus crassicauda. The record is from RNAcentral. Lineage: Eukaryota; Metazoa; Arthropoda; Arachnida; Scorpiones; Buthidae.